GUAUUAGCUCAGUCGGUUAGAGUGCGGUACUGACAAUGCCAAGGUUGCAGGUUCGAUCCCCGUGUGGGACA
Molecule: non-coding RNA, 71 nt
Organism: Podarcis lilfordi (Lilford's wall lizard)
Lineage: Eukaryota; Metazoa; Chordata; Lepidosauria; Squamata; Lacertidae
Source: the annotation of a GenBank genome assembly